UCCCGCCUCCCGCCAGGACUUGGCCGCUCGUCGGCGCCGCGCCCUCGCUCCGCCAGGAAGCAGCCGCCUGGGCCCCGCGCGGGAGGAGCGUGGCCUCUGACGGGAGCGGCGACCCCGCCGGCCCCGGUCUGUUUCCCUGGCGGCGGCGGCGGCUUCUUCCGUAGGACAAUAUGUUCAAGAGAAUGGCCGAAUUUGGGCCUGACUCCGGCGGGAGAGUGAAGGGGGUUACUAUCGUUAAGCCAAUAGUUUAUGGUAAUGUUGCUCGAUAUUUUGGAAAGAAAAGAGAAGAGGAUGGGCACACCCAUCAGUGGACCGUGUAUGUAAAACCAUAUAGAAAUGAGGAUAUGUCAGCAUAUGUGAAGAAAAUCCAAUUUAAAUUACAUGAGAGCUAUGGCAAUCCUUUAAGAGUUGUUACUAAACCUCCAUAUGAAAUUACUGAAACAGGAUGGGGUGAAUUUGAAAUAAUCAUCAAAAUAUUUUUCAUUGAUCCUAAUGAAAGACCUGUAACCCUCUAUCAUUUAUUAAAGCUGUUUCAGUCAGACACCAAUGCAAUGCUGGGAAAAAAGACAGUGGUUUCAGAGUUCUAUGAUGAAAUGAUAUUUCAAGACCCAACAGCAAUGAUGCAACAAUUGUUAACAACAUCUCGCCAGCUAACAUUAGGAGCCUAUAAGCAUGAAACAGAAUUUGCAGAACUUGAAGUGAAAACCAGAGAAAAAUUAGAAGCUGCGAAGAAAAAAACAAGCUUUGAAAUUGCAGAGCUUAAGGAGAGAUUAAAGCCUCCUGUUCAGGUCCACGUAGUGAGCCCUGUACUUUUGGACUCAUCUAAUUGGAACACUUAGUAGUACUUACAUCCACAUGGGCUGAUCUGUCUGGGAAACCUAGGAACAACAAUAGAUCAUUAUGAAGUGUCACGUGGCAGUUCAGAGAAAUGAAACAUGACUUCUGAAUGAUUCGAGAAGCUGAAGGACCAAGACUUCAGAAACUACUGGAGAGACUCAGUCUUUCCCCAUCUUGAAUCCCCUACCUUGGUUGAUGGCAUCAGUACCAACCCAGUUUGCCACGUUGUCAACACUACCCAGGACCUCCCCGGCCGAGGCUCCUCUGGUGACAACUCCAGUCUCUGUCCACAGAGCAGACUAUGAAGGUGUCCGCGUCCCCAUACGGAAGUGUUCAGCCAAGAGAGGACGUUUGGACACACGCAUGGAUGGAGGGAAGAUGAUGUGAAGAUGAAGGGAGAAGAUGACCACUUAGAGGCCAUGGAGAGAGGCCGAGAGCAGAUCCUUCCCUCACAGCCCUCAAAAGGGACCGACCCUGCCCACAUCUUGCUCUCAGACUUCCAGGCUCCGAAACUGCGAGACGGUAUGUGGGUGUCGUGUGUGUCGUUGCAGCCGCCCGGUCUGUGGUGUUUUGUUACAGGGCCCCUAACAAACGAAAACACGUGCUGUAAAACUCACCCAUUUGCCUGUAGAGUUCAAUGAUUUCUAGUAAAUUAACAGAGUUCUGCAAUCUAAUUCUAGAACAUUUUCUUCGCUCCUGGAAACCUUGCUGCCAUGUGCAUUCACUCCCCCUUCCCACCCCAGCCCCAGAAGACCACUGAUUGUCUGUCUGUCUGACUUGUCCCUUCUGGUCAUAUACGUCAUCUCCAACGAUUAGGACAUCUCCCAUGCCACGAGUCCGCACUUCCCUUAUCCAGGUUUUCUAUCUGUUGAAACAUCUUACAUUGAGUUGGCACGAAUGGCUCUAUAACUUGCGCAUGGUAACGUUCCUGUUAUAGUUCAUCUGAAACGUAAGCAAGACAAAAAAUAUCACAUGUUCUGCAGAAGAGUUGGAAUGGAAUUGAAAUAUUCAGUCAAAACGACCAUCAUGAUCGUACAUGACGAAAAUAGGGCUUGUUUUUAGCAGUCGAUGAGGAAAAAAAACAGACGCUGAGGGAAAAAUGCUCUCUUGAGGAUGGGGAGCAGAGAGAGAGCCCAAGAUGGGCUGCUGCUGAGACCUGGAUUAACACGCUACUCCGCAGAGCGGCUCAGGCCCAUCUGGGAGCCGAGGGGGCCAUCGCCCAGGCCUACACGCGCGGGGCCAGGCCUAAAUGCGCAGCCCCCCAUGGCCCAGACACAGACCUUUGUGCAGCACCCCCGUGCUAGAAAGAUUGGCUGGGAUGAAAUACAUCUAGGCCAUUAGGUGGAAACCACAUACAUGGAGAAGUCUUUGCUUUUCUCGCCUAGAGGAGUUGGCCCUUCUGCUCACCCUACCAACCCACGGUAACAACUGAAACUACAUGGUCUCCUUGACUGCUGUGCCGCAAGCUGGGCGUGUGAGAGCAAGAGUAGAAAGAUGGAAACCAGAUAGAAUGCAACUUCUGUUAUCAAGACAAGAGACAAUGUCGGCAUAAAAAAGAAAAAUUGAGGCAGAGUAAGCUGGGCCACCACUGCAUAAGAAACAAUGAAGGUGGAAUGCAACCUCUUAACGUCUGGACAUACUGAACAGCCCAACCUGGACAACAACAGCAGCUUAAUUCUCAAAACCUUUUAAAGGGAGGUGUCGGCUCCAGUAUUUUUUUCCUCAAUGUUUAAUUAAAAAUUAAAUGUGAAAUAUGCUAAAAAUUGAUGGCCAUUCCCUUUUAGAGCCUCCAUUUUUGUACUUUUUUCUUUCAUUUUUGAACCUUUAGUGCAUUUCUGUCAAUGUGAUAUUUUUGCUCGAAUUCAACCUUGCUCUCUCCCAUUUCUCCAUGCGAGCACAAUUUAACUACAAAUAUUGGUUUCUGGUGUCAAUAUUGUAUUCCUUCAAAUUGCUGCCAUUGUUUUUAAAAAGAUACCUUUUUUUGCUACAUGCGUAAGGCUGUUCAUGAUAACUUGCAAUAAAAACAAACUUGUAAGAAUUA
This is an RNA transcript of Canis lupus familiaris (dog), 2878 nucleotides long. It is a transcript of the gene named YEATS domain containing 4, with no coding region annotated. The record is from RefSeq and is a predicted model, not a curated record. NCBI's taxonomy places the organism in Eukaryota, Metazoa, Chordata, Mammalia, Carnivora, Canidae. The transcript is spliced from 14 exons.